Long non-coding RNA from Ixodes scapularis (black-legged tick), 263 nucleotides. RefSeq lists it as uncharacterized. The transcript has 3 exons. Lineage: Eukaryota; Metazoa; Arthropoda; Arachnida; Ixodida; Ixodidae. The record is from RefSeq and is a predicted model, not a curated record.
GGCGCCCACAAGCCUAAUUAAUAAAGUUCUCUCACUCGUCCCACUGCUCGCUCCCUGCGUCGCUACCAAGUAAUUCACGUAAAUUGUAAACCUCGACCCUCGAAUCAACUAAUCCAGCGUUAACCCCGGCACACGAUGAUAACCGGCCGACGCCACAGUGCAGCGUAACAUCCAGAGACAUGAGGACGGAGUCAGCGUCGUGAUCGCAGCCUAGGUAGGAUCUUUACGUGGCGUGGACGGCAGGGCGGCCGCAUCGGGUGUGC